Molecule: long non-coding RNA, 608 nt
Filed under: Anser brachyrhynchus (Pink-footed goose)
Lineage: Eukaryota; Metazoa; Chordata; Aves; Anseriformes; Anatidae
Description: lncRNA (ENSABRG00000017731.1)
Source: RNAcentral
CUUGAAAUAAUUCAAAACAAGGGAAUGUUCAGCUCUGCUCAAAAAUGUUCAUUAUGAACAUUACAGGAUGCUGAUUUGUGCAGCCUAAGCACAAUCCCAACAGUGUGUUUCUAAAUGUUUUAAUCUAAAACUCAACAUUAAUUCUGAUGAAAUGCUACUGUGGUUGAUAAGUUUUAGUCCUGGGAAUCUAGUAUCUUGCAUCUAUUCUUGAUUUUCUACAGACUUGUUUCCUGGCUUGUCCUUACUCUUCACUUAGAAGCUUCAAGCUGUAUUCCUAAAUCCAAGGUGUCAAUGAAGGGUGAACUGUAUCAAGCACAGGAACUGGGAACUAAAUCAAGUCUGAGCCUUGAUCAACUACUUGCUUUGGGCAGUUCCUGGGUUUCCCACCUAUCUCUGUGUUGUACUUCCCAGCUGAGCAUUACCAGAGUGUAGCCUAUUUUUAUUCUUUUCCGUGCACUGCCUGUGGCUGAAAAGGAAAUGGUUUCAUUUAUUUAUUUAUUUUUAUGAAAGGGCAAUAGCAUUAAAGAUGAGCCAAAACAAACCCCAAAGAUUUGGCUCCUAUAUUUUAAGUGGAAAUCAACUGUGUCCAGUUCUGUAUCUAAUCCCUG